This 253-nucleotide ribosomal RNA is filed under the name uncultured bacterium. Its description in RNAcentral is "partial 16S ribosomal RNA". It matches the Rfam family "Bacterial small subunit ribosomal RNA", at positions 524 to 776 of the family's 1533-position model. The record is from RNAcentral.
UACGAAGGGUGCAAACGUUGCUCGGAAUUAUUGGGUGUAAAGCGCACGUAGGCGGCAUUGCAAGUCGGAUGUGAAAUCCCUCGGCUUAACCAAGGAAGUGCAUCCGAAACUGCAGCGCUUGAGUACUUAAGAGGAUCGCGGAAUUCCCGGUGUAGAGGUGAAAUUCGUAGAUAUUCGGAAGAACACCAGUGGCGAAGGCGACUCACUGGACAUGUAUUGACGCUGAGGUGCGAAAGCGUGGGGAGCAAACAGG